CGUACUCAGUUCGGAUUGUAGUCUGCAACUCGACUACAUGAAGCUGGAAUCGCUAGUAAUCGCGAAUCAGCAUGUCGCGGUGAAUACGUUCCCGGGUCUUGUACACACCGCCCGUCACACCAUGGGAGUCGGGAAUGCCCGAAGCCGGUGACCCAACCUUAGGGAGGGAGCCGUCGAAGGCAGAUUCGAUAACUGGGGUGAAGUCGUAACAAGGUAGC
RNAcentral lists this ribosomal RNA (218 nucleotides) under uncultured bacterium. RNAcentral's name for it is "partial 16S ribosomal RNA". It matches the Rfam family "Bacterial small subunit ribosomal RNA", at positions 1283 to 1500 of the family's 1533-position model. The record is from RNAcentral.